GGGGGAGGGGAGAGGGGGGGAGGGGGCGGGUGGGGAGAGAAGCAGCAGAGUCACUUCACCGACCAGACGCCGCGGCCACCGCCGACGCCGCCGCCAUUUUAACAGAGCGCUCGGGCUGCGCUCGGCUCUUUCCGCCCGGGCUUAGGAGCGGACGAGAGGCGCCUCGCGCUCUCAUUCCUCCGCCUCCCUCCCUUUCUCGCCUCUCCUCCGCCCCCCACCUCUCCCUCCGCACACACGCCGCACGCUCCACACCCCGCCGUGGCCGGCUCGCCGCCCUCCCUUUCCUCUUCCGUCCGGCCUCCCCGCCCUCGGUCCACCCCCUCCGCGCGCUCGCCCACCCCGCCCAGCCCGGAUCUCUGUCAGCGGCCGGAAGGGAAACGCGAAGCCAGCGCGGCCGCGGGGGGAGUCCGGCAGUUGAAACCAACCAUCAUGGUGAUCUGGCUUUUCUAGGGCUGGCCAUACAUAAUUGAGUUCCUCCUGAUAAAAGGUAAGCAACAAUCCUGAGAAACAUAGUGGGAGCCCUGUGUCUACAAAAAUUUAAAAGGUGGCUGGGCGCGUUGGCUCACUCCUGAAAUCCCGCACUUAGGGAGGCUGAGGUGAGCAAAUCACCUGAGGUCGGGAGCUCUAGACCGGCCUGACCAACAUGGACAAAGCUCAUCUCUGCUAAAAAUACAAAAUUAGGCAUGGUGGUGCAUGCCUGUAAUCCCAGCUACUCAGGAGGCUGAGGCAGGAGAAUCGCUUGAACCCGGGAGGCAGGGGUUGCGGUGAGCCGAGAUCGCGCCAUUGCACUCCAGCCUGGGAUAAGAGUGAAACUCCGUCUCAUAAAAAAAAAAAAAAAAAAAGGCCAGGCAUGGUGGUUCAUGCCUGUAAUCCCAGCGCUUUGGGAGGCCGAGGCGAGAAGAUCACUAAAUCAGGAGAUUGAGACCAUCCUGGCUAACACGGUGAAACCCCGUCUCUACUAAAAAUACAAAAAAUUAGCCAGGCAUGGUGGUGGGCGCCUGUAGUCCCAGCUACUUGGGAGGCUGAGGCAGGAGAAUGGCAUGAACCCAGGGAGCAAAGCUUGCAGUGAGCUGAGAUCGCGCCACUGCACUCCAGCCUGGGCGACACAGCAAGACUCCGUCUCAAAAAAAAAAAAAAAAAAUUACCUGGUCGUGGUGGCUCACGACUAUAAUCAUAGUACUUUGAGAGUCCAAGGCAGAUGGAUUGCUUGAGCCUGGGAGUUCUACAUCAACCUGGGCAACAUGGCAAAAGUCCAUCUCCAGUACAUAAGAAAAUUAGUGGAAUGUGGUGGUGCACACCUGUAAUCCCAGCUACUGGGGAGGCUGAGGUGGGAGGAUCACUAGAGCCCAGGAGAUUGAGACUGCAGUGAGCUGUGGUCAUACCACUGCAGUCUAGCCUGGGUGACAGAGUGAGACCCUCUCUGGAAAAAAAAAGAAAUGUAAGCAGAAAUCUGCAGGAUGGGUUCUUUGGGAAGAAUUCCCAAAAGAAUUCCUAAUACGAUGAGGGACAAAUUCAGCUAACAUACCAUUUAACCCUUUCUGCCUGAAACAUGGUCUUGAUGCACAAAGUAAUACCCAUCUUGUAAUUUUUUUAACAAUGAAAACUUUUACCCCAUUUGCGAUUUCAUUGUUUAAAAAAUUUGAUUAAACAGGCCGGGCACAGUGGCUCACGCCUGUAAUCCCAACACUUUGGGAGGCUGAGGCAGGUGGAUCACCUGAGGUCAGAGUUCAAGACCAGCCUUACCUACAUGCUGAAACCCCAUCUCUUCUAAAAAUAUAAAAAAUGAGCCGGGUGUGGUGGCGGGCACUUUGUAAUCCCAGCUACUCGGGAGGCUGAGGCUGGAGAAUUGCUUGAACCCGGGGGUGGAGGUUGCAGUGAGCCGAGAUUCUGCCAUUGCACUCCAGCCUGGGCAACAAGAGCAAAAAAAAUUCCAUCUCGAAAAAAAAUGAUAAAACAGAAUCAUAAAGUGUGGAUCCCUGAUGCAUCUUUGAACAACAGUCUAUGCUCAGACUGCUUAUGUGAGAAAAAUAAAAUGUAUUUUUCUUGGCUGGGCAUGGUGGCCUACACCUGUAUUCCCAGAACUUUGAGAGGCUAAGGAGGGCAGAUCACUUGAGGACAGGAGUUAGAGACCGGCCUGGCCAACGUAAUGAAACCCAUCUCUACUAAAAAUACAAAAAUUAGGCUGGGCGCAAUGGCUCACGCCUGUACUCCCAGCACUUUGGGAGGGGGAGGUGGGCAGAACACAAGGUCAGGAGUUCAAGACCAGCCUGGCCAACGUAGUGAAGCCUCGUCUCUACUAAAAAUACAAAAAUUAGCCGGGUUUGAUGGCGCAUGCCUAUAGUCCCAACUACUUGGGAGGCUGAGGCAAGAGAAUUGCUUGAACCCAGGAGGCAGAAGUUGCAGUGAGCCAAGAUCGCACCAGUGCACUCCAGCCUCGGCGACAGAGCAAGACUCCGUCUCAAAAAAAAAAAAAAGCCGGUUGUGGUGGAGGGCACCUGUAAUCCCAGCCACUCAGAAGGCUGAGGCAGGAGAAUCCCUUGAACCCGGGAGGCAGAGGUUGCAGUGAGCUGCAGUUGCCACUGCACUCCAGCCUGGAUGACAGAGCAAGACUCCUCAAAAAAGUUCUUUUUCUUUAAGCCAUUCUUCAGAUUUUCGUUACUUGUAACCAAACACAUUUCUAACUACUGAUUACAGAUACUCUUUUUUUUUUUUUUUUUUUUUUUUGAGUCUCGCUUUUUUUGCCCAGGCUGGAGUGCAGUGGAGUGAUCUCCGCUCACUGCCAGCUCCGCCUCCCGGGUUCAGGCCAUUCUCCUGCCUCAGCCUCCUGAGUAGCUGGGACUACAGGUGCCACCACCACACCUGUCUACUUUUUUGUAUUUUUAGUAGAGAUGGGGUUUCUCCAUGUUGGUCAGGCUGGUCUCGAACUCCCACCCUCAGGUGAUCCGCCCGCCUCGGCCUCCUAAAGUGCUGUGAUUACAGGCGUGAGCCACCGCGCCCGGCCAAGUGUGUAUAACUGUUGAUCAACAUUUUGAAGACCAGUUAUGACAGUUAAAUUAUUUGCCACAACUCAAAUGAACAGCAGAGCACUUUAUCACAAACUAACAUUCACCCUGGAAUGUACUGUACAGUCAACCUAUUCUGUCUCCUUCCAUCUCUCCAUUCCUAUGCCUUUCAUCUUUUUAUUUUAUUUUAAUUUUUUUUUGAGAUGGAGUCUUGCUCUGCUGCCCAGGGUGGAGUGCAGUGGCGCAAUCUCGGCUCACUGCAAGCUCUGCCUCCUGGGUUCAAGCGAUUCACCUGCCUCAGCCUCCUAAAUAGCUGGGAUUACAGAUGUGUGCCAUCACAUUGGGCUAAUAUUUAUAUUUUUAGUAGAGACAGGGAUCUUACUAUGUUGCCCAGGCUGUUCUUGAACUCGGUCUCAAGUGAUCCACCCACCUCAGCCUCCCAAAGUGAUGGGAUUACAGGUAUGAGCCACCAGCCCUGGCCUAAAUUUAAAAAAAAGGGUAUUCCUAUGUUGCCCAGACUGGUCUCGAACUCCUGAGCUCCAGCAAUCCUCCCACCUGCCAAAGUGCUAGGAUUACAGUUGAGCCACUGCACCCCACAGAGAUCUCACUGUGUUGCCCAGGCUGCAGUGCAGUGACAAUUCAUAGGCCCAGCAUGCUUUGAACGGCAUGCUUUGAGGUGAUCCUCCUGCCUCAGCCUCCCAAGUAGCUGGGACUACAGGCAUAUUCCACCACUUUCCUGGCUCAAGGAAUCCUCCUGCCUCAGCCUCCUGGGUAGCUGGGAGGACAAGUGUGUGUCACCACACCUGGACAACUGGGGGUGUAUUUGUAUCUUAUGGGAUGGAUAUUUGGUGAUUUGUUAUGAGCAAAUUGAUACCCUUCUGUUUGUGGAGAUUCUCUUGAAUCCUUUUUUCCAUACACUCCAUUUUCUUCUGUUUGGAACUCAUGUUUACUUAUGGAGUGGUCCUCAAAUUUUUAAAAGUUUAUAUUUUGCAUCUUUUUCUCUUUUCCCUCUAUUUUUGGGAGAUUUAAAUUUCUUUUUUUUUCUUUUUGAGGAGUCUCGCUGUCGCCCAGGCUGGAGUGCAGUGGCGCCGUCUCAGCUCACUGCAAGCUCCGCCUCCCGGGUUCACGCCAUUCUCCUGCGUCAGCCUCCCAAGUAGCUGGGACUACAGGUGCCCACCACCAUGCCCGGCUAAUUUCUUUGUAUUUUUAGUAGAGACAGGGUUUCACAGUGUUAGCCAGGAUGGUCUCCAUCUCCUGACCUCGUGAUCCGCCCGCCUUGGCCUCCCAAAGCGCUGGGAUUACACACGUGAGCCACCGCACCUGCCUCUGCAACUCAUUUUUUAUUUCUGCUAUUCUCUAAUUUCCAAAAUUCUGUUCUCUUGAUAUACCUUUACUGUGGUAUUGUUUUUCUUGGUUGCAGAAAGCUCUCAACUUUUCUAAGGGUACUGGUGAUUGAUAUUUUUGUUUACUUUUGCCUGUGCAGUCUGUUUUCAACUUGCCCGUUUCCAUUUUAAAAUUCAUAUUGAGACUGCCCUUAGAUGUCUGAUAAUCCUUAGUUGUCCAUUUACACACCCAUUAUAUAAAAUGUAUAGGGAAGGCCAGGCACGGUGGCUCACGCCUAUAAUCCCAGCACUUUGGGAGGCUGAGGUGGGUGGAUCACCUGAGGUCAGGAGUUUGAGACCAGCCUGUCUAAACAUGGCAAAACCCCAUCUUUAGUAAAAGCACAAACAGCUGGUUGCGUUGAUGCGUGCCUGCAGCCCCAGCUUCUCUGGAGGCUGAGGCUGGAGAAUCGCUUGAAUCCGGGAGGCGGAGGUAGUAGUGAGCCGAGAUCACGCCACUGCACUCCAGCCUGAGCAACAGAGCAAGAUUCUAUCACCCCCACCCCCCACCCCGCAAAAAAAAAAAUCAAUCUAUAUCUGAGAGAGAGUGUCUCACUCUGGCUGGAGUGCAGUGGCACAAUCUCAGCUCACAGCAACCUCUCCUUCCCAAAUUCAAGAGAUUCUCCUGGCUCAGCCUCCCAAGCAGCUGGAACUACAGGCACGUGCCACCACACUUGGCUAAUUUUUGUAUUUUUUUGUAGAGACAGGGUUUCACUGUGUUGGCCAGGCAGGUCUGGGACUCUUGGCCUCAAGUGAUCCGCCCACCUUGGCCUCCCAAAGGGCAGGGAUUACAGGUGUGAGCUACCAAGCCUGGCUCCACUCACCCUUUUGAGAAGGCUCAUGGCUACUUAGUUUACUUACAUUUUUUAAGAAUACAAUUAGUAUUUGUACCAGGUUACAUCUGUGUUCUCAUUCCAAGGCUAAUGUUUAUUCUUUGUUACAUUUAGAUGCUAAGUAGAGUUAGACAAGAAGUGCCCUCUAAUCCCAAAUAAAGGUAAAAUGAGUCAAAAUGCCACAGGAGGAAUUUGUUUCUUGAGAACAAAAGGUAUCUUAGGAACAUGUUCAUUUUACACAACUGCUGCAUUUACUAGGAACAAUAACCUUAGAAAUCUUGUUUGUAAAUCAAGGGGUCCAACUUCAUUUAAAAUGUUACUUGAUGCUUAAACACAAAUACCCACUAUCAUUAAUAUAGGAAUAAAUGAG
Molecule: long non-coding RNA, 5584 nt
Filed under: Homo sapiens (human)
Lineage: Eukaryota; Metazoa; Chordata; Mammalia; Primates; Hominidae
Description: HSALNT0032344
Source: RNAcentral